Topomyia yanbarensis is the source of this 1035-nucleotide long non-coding RNA. RefSeq lists it as uncharacterized. The record is from RefSeq and is a predicted model, not a curated record. The transcript is spliced from 3 exons. NCBI's taxonomy places the organism in Eukaryota, Metazoa, Arthropoda, Insecta, Diptera, Culicidae.
CACGUCUUGGUCAUUCAUCACUUCGCCACUGACCAUGCAAGUACGCUAUUCGAAAGUGAAGUAUUAUUUUGUUUGUUUCAGUAAUACUUCCUCUCCCAGCUUAGCCCUUCAUAUUAAAAUAUAUCGUCACUUUUGAGAUUGAUCGCUGACUCUGAAAGAUAAUCCAGCAAAUGGUUUAGCGACUCAACUGAUUCGAUACAGAUAUCGACACAGAUUUUUGGAAGAGUAAAUACAGAUGAAAAGAUUUUUUAAGACAAAAAUACAGAUUUAAUUUUGGCAACCCUGUUCAGAGGUACCAAAGGGAAUUCUUCGGGUCCCGGAUUGAAUGACGAUUUAAGCCGAGAAGCGCUGGUAACCAUUGUUUCAUCGAUAUUGACGAGGCACUCUUGGGAGAUUAAAAAAACAUCGGAAGGUACAAUUGGGAGAUUCGACUUAUUAAGUUUUGUUUGUUGCAUUCCGAUGGAGGAUGAGUAUAAGUUGCAGUUAUGGUUGCGGUCGGUCGGAAUAAAUAGAAAUAUAUUACGCUUACAGGAGAAAAAUCAAGAUAAAUCAAGCAUAUUCCUCGACUUUCCAGGACACCAGGACAGUCAAUGCAAAAUCAGGACAUGUCCUGGGAAACCAGGACGUAUGGUCACCCUAGCCAACGGGGUUACUUGCCCAAGGACAUAACCCCUCCCCAACACAUUGAAACCAAGGCUCAUAGAAAAAUACUGGGCAAUUAUGAAGUAGGCACUACGGAAGCAUCCCAAGGAGGUCAAAUCUCAGAAGACAUGAAGAAAAAGUGGGUUUCCGUACAGAAGAAGCUGCAGUCAGAUGUUGUACAGAAUCUAAGAAGUGCAGUUAAGCGGUAGGUACGAGCUUACGGUUGUGGUAAUGGGUUAUAUUUUAGUGUCUGAAAGUUUGAAAAGUUCUAAACUUUUUUUUCGUGAUGCAAUUUGAUGUGGGCCACUCUUUAUUGACGGAAUUUAAUGAAAUCCAAUAUUCUUCAGUAUAAUUUUCUUGUAGAAAGUUGUAAUAAACCAUACCAUGGAUAAA